This 221-nucleotide ribosomal RNA is filed under the name uncultured bacterium. RNAcentral describes it as "partial 16S ribosomal RNA". It matches the Rfam family "Bacterial small subunit ribosomal RNA", at positions 30 to 243 of the family's 1533-position model. The record is from RNAcentral.
AUUGAACGCUGGCGGCAUGCCUUACACAUGCAAGUCGAACGGCAGCACGGGAGCAAUCCUGGUGGCGAGUGGCGAACGGGUGAGUAAUACAUCGGAACGUGCCCAGUAGUGGGGAGUAACCGGCGAAGACCGGACUAAUACCGCGUACGACCUACGGUGAAGACAGGGAGUCUCAUGGCAACAUGCGACCUUGCGCUAUCGGAGCGGCCGAUGUCAGAUAG